RNAcentral lists this ribosomal RNA (878 nucleotides) under uncultured bacterium. RNAcentral describes it as "bacterial SSU rRNA". It matches the Rfam family "Bacterial small subunit ribosomal RNA", at positions 8 to 916 of the family's 1533-position model. The record is from RNAcentral.
AGAGUUUGAUCCUGGCUCAGGGUGAACGCUAGCGGUGCGCCUAACACAUGCAAGUCGAGCGAGAAUGGAGUAGCUUGCUACAAAAGGAAAGCGGCGAACGGGUGAGUAAAAUGUUGCUACCUGCCCUCAAGUCGGGGAUAGCCCAUUGAAAGAUGGAUUAAUACCGGAUAGUCUCUGAGGAGUAAAAAUUUAUUGCUUGAGGAGGGGGCUUCAAUCUAUCAGCUAGUUGGCGAGGUAACUGCUCACCAAGGCAAUGACGGAUAACUGAUCUGAGAGGAUGAUCAGUCACAAUGGAACUGAGACACGGUCCAUACUCCUACGGGAGGCAGCAGUGAGGAAUCUUCCACAAUGGGCGAAAGCCUGAAGCAGCAACGCCGCGUGCACGAUGAAGGCCUUCGGGUCGUAAAGUGCUUUUCUGCGAGAUGAGAAAGGACAGUAUCGUAGGAAUAAGUCUCGGCUAACUACGUGCCAGCAGCCGCGGUAAAACGUAGGAGGCGAGCGUUAUCCGGAAUCACUGGGCGUAAAGCGCGUGCAGGUGGCUUGGUAAGUUGGGCGUGAAAUCUCCCGGCUCAACUGGGAGAGGUCGUUCAAUACUACCAAGCUAGAGAGCAGAAGAGGAAGAUGGAAUUCCCGGUGUAGUGGUGAAAUGCGUAGAUAUCGGGAGGAACACCAGUGGCGAAGGCGAUCUUCUGGUCUGUUUCUGACACUCAGACGCGACAGCUAGGGUAGUAAACGGGAUUAGAGACCCCGGUAAUCCUAGCCGUAAACGAUGUGAACUUGGCGUUGGUGGGUUAAACUCCAUCAGUGCCGAAGCAAACGCGAUAAGUUCACCGCCUGGGGACUACGGCCGCAAGGUUAAAACUCAAAGGAAUUGACGG